Long non-coding RNA from Anguilla anguilla (European eel), 2617 nucleotides. RefSeq lists it as uncharacterized. The record is from RefSeq and is a predicted model, not a curated record. NCBI's taxonomy places the organism in Eukaryota, Metazoa, Chordata, Actinopteri, Anguilliformes, Anguillidae. The transcript has 2 exons.
CUCAGCACUAGAAUAACGGAGAAGCUCAGGAGGACCCGCUGCACUGCGGUGUGUGUUUGUUGAUGAAAGAAUCGAUUUGCCGACUCAGGACACAGAUACGGUUGUAUCUUCCACGCGAGGCAACUUUGUUCUGGAUGAGUUGCAGGCAACCCAGGAGGGAGCAGUGGCUCUGGUGGCAGUGGUCAAUGAAGAGGAGGUGCCUGCAGGAGUUCCCUUUAAAACUCACAACGUUUCAAUCGUCCUCGAGGAUCAGGUUGUAAUGUCUCACAGAUAUUGGACAGAUUCACUGGUGAUUUUGUUUGGACUGAUCUAUGCUCUCCAUUUGGGCUACCCUGAGAAACUAAGUGGCUUCUUUGAGUUCAUUCAGGUUGUCCUCUUAAAUCUUGAUGAUGGGAGAAAGUAGCUCAAACCUAUGUUACAGGACUUGAGAAAUAAGCUGGAGUAAAGUUGUCAACAGGUUUUGUUGUUGAAGGUCAGCAAUGUCGUAAAAAAAUAUCGUUUGGCUUGCAUGCCAACAACUGUUUUCAGUUCUGAUUUUUGUGUGUUUAAACAGGUACUGUGAAAAUCACAAGAGUUCUAGUUAGAUUUAAUAGUUUUUACUACAAUGUGUGUUUACAUUGUUUCUGUGGUGUCUUCACACUUUCUGCACUACCACAUGAAAAUAACAUUUAUAUCAUUAUAUUUUAUUUUGUUUGUUAUUUUUGAGUCUUUGAUUUCAUAGUUUUCCCAACACAUAAAUGUGUAUGACAUUUUAUUCACCAGCUUCAUUGUAUAAAAUUAUGGACACUAACUCCACACAAAAUCAAAACAUCAAAUUGAACAAAAUUUUCUAAAUCAGGUUUAGAAGUGAAAACUGUUUAAUGCACAAUUUAUGGAUAUGGGCACAGUAACCUGCUUAGACUGCUGCUUGCAGGAGAGGGGGACAAUUUGGGGAGGAGGCAACGUAAUAAUAAUAAAGCAUAUAGUUGAACUUCUUGUGACCUUUAAGAUUUCAGACCACAUGACUAGGAAUAAGCAGGUAUAGGCAAUGCAUGGAUGGAUUCCUGCAUGGAAACAUUCAUCCUUUUGACAGAAACCAGACUAUAUUUCUCUCUCCUUCAAUUUCUAUGCAAUAAUAAAAGACUGACUCUGCUAUGCAAUUGUGUUGUCCAAACAGGUUUUUAAUGUUAUCAACAAAUUGGCUACAUGCUCAAAUUGCUUACUUUAGCAACACAAUAAGAUAAAACAGUGAUAAUUCAUAACAUUAGGACGUAUCACGGUCAAGAGUCUCUCUCACAAUAACUUAAUUGUCGAUCAUUGUAUUUGUUCAAUUUUAUAGUUAUUUUAUUAUCUAUGUUCUAUUGCCAUUUUUGCAGUUGUUUUUGCCGCCAUUUCAAUUAUAUUCAUAACAUACUCGAGUCAAAUAUAAUUAAAACCAAUGUAUACACAGUCCUAAGUUACCAUCAUACCAUCACGUCAAUUGUGUAACAACAAAUUAAAUCAUUCUAACAGUAAAUGAAAUUACCCUAUAAUGUGCAUUGUGGUUAUGUGGUUUUUUUUUCUGUACAUAUUAAUGUUAACAAGGAAACUCAUUUCGUAAUGUGAGACCAGCCACAUCCUCAGAUUAUGAAACAUGAAUAUUUAUUGAUUGAAAAGACAUAGCAACUUCAUAACUUACCUUGAAGUGAGUUGUGGUAACAUUGAUGAGGAAAGCUGCUUUUGUUUAUUUCUUAUCACCCAGGUAAGUUUUACAAAGCAAAUAGCUGACCAUACAGACUGUGGGACAAGUAAGGAUUAAAUGAGAAUGUUUAUUUUCUGAAUCCAGCAGUUCCAACUGUCAAUGCCCUAGUUAACAUGUUCAGCACUCUGAAUACUGAAAGAAGCGAUAUUGCGUGCUAGAACCCCUCACUUAACCUACAUGUAAAAUAUAUUUUAUUCGAUUUAAUUUAAUAAUUAUGUUUAAAAUUAGAAUGAUCAAUUAAAUCGCCACAUUCAUUGAUAGGUCAGUCUACAGAAAACUGAUGGAAUCAACCAACAAGUCAAAACAAGCUGUACAAGGUUUCAAGAUUAAAGAAUUAGAUUAAUGAAUUGAAAUAAUACAUUCUUUAUUGAAUGCAGGCACACUACUAAAUUACAAAAUAGAAGACAUACAAAAAAACAUUACACAAUUGAUUAUUGUCAUGGUUCUGCCUUUUCUGUUACGGUUAUUCCUUUUUUGGGCCGCCAGAUGGCGGCAUUUCGCAUCUUUGUACUUUGGUUUGUUUGCCUCAUUGCUUUCUCCUCCUGUGUUGAUUCUAUCAGUGUUUUCACCUGUUGUCUCGUUGUCCCUCUCCUUUCUGUGUUGAUUGUGCAUUGUGUUCACCUGUGUCUGGUUAUCCCUCUUGUCUAUAAGUUCUUUGUUUCCCUGAGUUGGGCGCUGGAUCCUACUGUUUUCUGCCCUCGUUGUGUGUUCUUAGUGCUUUGUGUGUUUUCAAGGAUUUCGAGUUCCGCUGCUUGUUUUCUUGUUUGUUUUCUAGUGUUUUGAGUUCCUUGUUGUGUUUUCUGUUCUUAGAAUUUUUAGUUCUUUUUGGGAAUUGCCCCUCAUGGCCUUUUGGUUGUUCUGUUUACUUUUUGAAAGUAAAGUCUUUAUUUAAAUUUA